Molecule: ribosomal RNA, 597 nt
Filed under: Prorocentrum lima
Lineage: Eukaryota; Dinophyceae; Prorocentrales; Prorocentraceae
Description: eukaryotic LSU rRNA
Rfam family: Eukaryotic large subunit ribosomal RNA
Source: RNAcentral
CGGUGGAAGAUAAUCCAAAAGGGAUUCCUUCAGUAAUGGCGAAUGAACGGGGAAAAGCUCAGCAAAGAAAUCGAGGACUCUGGCCUUGAGUUGUGGACUUGAGAGGUAUCGCCCAAUGGUGGCACAGGUGGGGGCCUCUUGGAAAAGGGCACCACAGAGGGUGUGAGUCCUGUUUGCCAUCUGUAGUCCGCCGUGUACGGCAUGCCUCCUCAGAGUCACGUUCCUUGGAAUUGGAGCGCGAAGGUGGUGGUGGCUUUCAUCUCAAGCUAAGUAUGGGUUCGAGACCGAUAGCAAACAAGUACCAUGAGGGAAAAUUGAAAAGAGCUUUGGAAAGAGAGUUAAAAGUGCCCGAACUUGCUGAUAGGGAAGCGAAGGGAGCUGACGUUGCUUGGUAACAUCUUCUACGCAAGACUAGGAUGGGUUCUGAUUGCAAUGUGUGUAGUGUUUCUUGCCGUGCGUGUCGAUGCCAAGCAAUGAGUGGGGAGAGCUCCAGGGACGUGAUUGUUUCUGUCUCCGGGUAGACGAAGGUGCCUGGUUGCAUCCAUUCGUGGGCUGAAAAAUUGGUGGCUGGUCGCAGCACUCCUGCCGCUCACGUGC